UGGCGGACGGGUGAGUAAUGUCUGGGAAACUGCCCGAUGGAGGGGGAUAACUACUGGAAACGGUAGCUAAUACCGCAUAACGUCGCAAGACCAAAGAGGGGGACCUUAGGGCCUCUUGCCAUCGGAUGUGCCCAGAUGGGAUUAGCUAGUAGGUGGGGUAACGGCUCACCUAGGCGACGAUCCCUAGCUGGUCUGGGAGGAUGACCAGCCACACUGGAACUGAGACACGGUCCAG
This 235-nucleotide ribosomal RNA is filed under the name uncultured bacterium. RNAcentral's name for it is "partial 16S ribosomal RNA". It matches the Rfam family "Bacterial small subunit ribosomal RNA", at positions 96 to 334 of the family's 1533-position model. The record is from RNAcentral.